Molecule: ribosomal RNA, 253 nt
Filed under: uncultured bacterium
Lineage: Bacteria
Description: partial 16S ribosomal RNA
Rfam family: Bacterial small subunit ribosomal RNA
Source: RNAcentral
UACGUAGGGGGCAAGCGUUGUCCGGAAUUAUUGGGCGUAAAGCGCGCGCAGGCGGUCCUUUAAGUCUGAUGUGAAAGCCCACGGCUCAACCGUGGAGGGUCAUUGGAAACUGGGGGACUUGAGUGCAGGAGAGAAGAGUGGAAUUCCACGUGUAGCGGUGAAAUGCGUAGAGAUGUGGAGGAACACCAGUGGCGAAGGCGGCUCUCUGGUCUGUAACUGACGCUGAGGCGCGAAAGCGUGGGGAGCGAACAGG